CUACGGGUGGCAGCAGUGGGGAAUAUUGCGCAAUGGGCGAAAGCCUGACGCAGCAACGCCGUGUGAGGGAUGAAGGCUUUCGGGUCGUAAACCUCUGUCAGAAGGGAAGAACGGGUAUUGGUCUAAUAGGCCAUUAUUUUGACGGUACCUUCAGAGGAAGCACCGGCUAACUCCGUGCCAGCAGCCGCGGUAAUACGGAGGGUGCAAGCGUUAUUCGGAAUUACUGGGCGUAAAGCGCACGUAGGCCGCUUUGUAAGUCAGGGGUGAAAUCCCACGGCUCAACCGUGGAACUGCCUUUGAAACUGCAGAGCUUGAAUCCUGGAGAGGGUGGCGGAAUUCCUGGUGUAGGAGUGUAAUCCGUAGAUAUCAGGAGGAACACCGGUGGCGAAGGCGGCCACCUGGACAGGUAUUGACGCUGAGGUGCGAAAGUGUGGGGAGCAAACAGGAUUAGAUACCCUUGUAGUC
RNAcentral lists this ribosomal RNA (465 nucleotides) under uncultured bacterium. RNAcentral's name for it is "partial 16S ribosomal RNA". It matches the Rfam family "Bacterial small subunit ribosomal RNA", at positions 339 to 795 of the family's 1533-position model. The record is from RNAcentral.